RNAcentral lists this ribosomal RNA (491 nucleotides) under uncultured bacterium. RNAcentral's name for it is "bacterial SSU rRNA". It matches the Rfam family "Bacterial small subunit ribosomal RNA", at positions 41 to 507 of the family's 1533-position model. The record is from RNAcentral.
GGCAUGCUUAACACAUGCAAGUCGAACGGUAACAGACCAAACAAUAUCCUUCGGGGUGUUGUGGUGCUGACGAGUGGCGGACGGGUGAGUAAUGCAUAGGAAUCUGCCCAGUAGUGGGGGACAACCUGGGGAAACCCAGGCUAAUACCGCAUACGACCUACGGGUGAAAGAGGGCCUCUUCUUGAAAGCUCUCGCUAUUGGAUGAGCCUAUGUCUGAUUAGCUUGUUGGUGAGGUAACGGCUCACCAAGGCGACGAUCAGUAGCUGGUCUGAGAGGACGAUCAGCCACACUGGGACUGAGACACGGCCCAGACUCCUACGGGAGGCAGCAGUGGGGAAUAUUGGACAAUGGGGGCAACCCUGAUCCAGCAAUGCCGCGUGUGUGAAGAAGGCCUGCGGGUUGUAAAGCACUUUCAGUAGGGAAGAAAAGCCUGAGGUUAAUAACCUCGAGUCUUGACGUCACCUACAGAAGAAGCACCGGCUAACUCCGUG